Molecule: ribosomal RNA, 388 nt
Filed under: uncultured bacterium
Lineage: Bacteria
Description: bacterial SSU rRNA
Rfam family: Bacterial small subunit ribosomal RNA
Source: RNAcentral
AUUGAACGCUUUUGGCGGCAUGCUUUACACAUGCAAGUCGAACGGCAGCGGGGGCUUCGGCCCGCCGGCGAGUGGCGAACGGGUGAGUAAUGCAUCGGAACGUGCCCAGUCGUGGGGGAUAACACAUCGAAAGAUGUGCUAAUACCGCAUACGUCCUGAGGGAGAAAGCGGGGGAUCUUCGGACCUCGCGCGAUUGGAGCGGCCGAUGUCGGAUUAGCUAGUUGGUGGGGUAAAAGCCCACCAAGGCGACGAUCCGUAGCGGGUCUGAGAGGAUGAUCCGCCACACUGGGACUGAGACACGGCCCAGACUCCUACGGGAGGCAGCAGUGGGGAAUUUUGGACAAUGGGGGCAACCCUGAUCCAGCCAUGCCGCGUGAGUGAAGAAGGC